RNAcentral lists this ribosomal RNA (779 nucleotides) under Microbacterium sp. S47. RNAcentral's name for it is "bacterial SSU rRNA". It matches the Rfam family "Bacterial small subunit ribosomal RNA", at positions 77 to 868 of the family's 1533-position model. Lineage: Bacteria; Bacillati; Actinomycetota; Actinomycetes; Micrococcales; Microbacteriaceae. The record is from RNAcentral.
AGCUUGCUUGGUGGAUCAGUGGCGAACGGGUGAGUAACACGUGAGCAACCUGCCCUGGACUCUGGGAUAAGCGCUGGAAACGGCGUCUAAUACUGGAUAUGAGCCCCUAUCGCAUGGUGGGGGUUGGAAAGAUUUUUUGGUCUGGGAUGGGCUCGCGGCCUAUCAGCUUGUUGGUGAGGUAAUGGCUCACCAAGGCGUCGACGGGUAGCCGGCCUGAGAGGGUGACCGGCCACACUGGGACUGAGACACGGCCCAGACUCCUACGGGAGGCAGCAGUGGGGAAUAUUGCACAAUGGGCGAAAGCCUGAUGCAGCAACGCCGCGUGAGGGAUGACGGCCUUCGGGUUGUAAACCUCUUUUAGCAGGGAAGAAGCGAAAGUGACGGUACCUGCAGAAAAAGCGCCGGCUAACUACGUGCCAGCAGCCGCGGUAAUACGUAGGGCGCAAGCGUUAUCCGGAAUUAUUGGGCGUAAAGAGCUCGUAGGCGGUUUGUCGCGUCUGCUGUGAAAUCCCGAGGCUCAACCUCGGGCCUGCAGUGGGUACGGGCAGACUAGAGUGCGGUAGGGGAGAUUGGAAUUCCUGGUGUAGCGGUGGAAUGCGCAGAUAUCAGGAGGAACACCGAUGGCGAAGGCAGAUCUCUGGGCCGUAACUGACGCUGAGGAGCGAAAGGGUGGGGAGCAAACAGGCUUAGAUACCCUGGUAGUCCACCCCGUAAACGUUGGGAACUAGUUGUGGGGACCAUUCCACGGUUUCCGUGACGCAGCUAACGCAUUAAGUUCC